Molecule: ribosomal RNA, 201 nt
Filed under: uncultured prokaryote
Description: partial 16S ribosomal RNA
Rfam family: Bacterial small subunit ribosomal RNA
Source: RNAcentral
UACGUAGGGGGCGAGCGUUGUCCGGAAUCAUUGGGCGUAAAGCGCGUGUAGGCGGCUUGGUAAGUCUGGUGUGAAACCUUGGGGCUUAACCCCAAGCCUGCACUGGAUACUGCCAAGCUUGAGUCCGGGAGGGGAGAGCGGAAUUCCUAGUGUAGCGGUGAAAUGCGCAGAUAUUAGGAAGAACACCGGUGGCGAAGGCGG